CCCUGCAACUUCAAGAAAUAUCUCUAAUUGGUAAACUAUAACCAAGCAAUAAUUCAAUCGGUUAUGUGUAUCAUCACUAGAUUGAACUUUCCAAAAAUCAAUCAACCAACGACUAUAGAAUCUCAAUAACCAAAAGAUUGGAUUAUUCUUUAACUAAUCCAUAUCUUCUCAAGAAACAUGUAGAAUCCUAGAACAUUGAAACAAAUCUAACCAAAGUAAAGUAAACUUACAAGGUUGUGACUUAG
Molecule: non-coding RNA, 245 nt
Organism: Arabidopsis thaliana (thale cress)
Lineage: Eukaryota; Viridiplantae; Streptophyta; Magnoliopsida; Brassicales; Brassicaceae
Product: other RNA
Exons: 1
Source: RefSeq